GGCCUCGUAGCUCAGCUGGUAGAGCGUGCGAUUUGCAGAAGCGUAGGCUGCAUCCAUGCGUGCGUGGGUUCGAAUCCCUCCGAGGCUA
This 88-nucleotide transfer RNA is filed under the name Echinostoma caproni. It matches the Rfam family "tRNA". Rfam says of the family: Transfer RNA (tRNA) molecules are approximately 80 nucleotides in length. Their secondary structure includes four short double-helical elements and three loops (D, anti-codon, and T loops). Further hydrogen bonds mediate the characteristic L-shaped molecular structure. tRNAs have two regions of fundamental functional importance: the anti-codon, which is responsible for specific mRNA codon recognition, and the 3' end, to which the tRNAs corresponding amino acid is attached (by aminoacyl-tRNA synthetases). tRNAs cope with the degeneracy of the genetic code in two manners: having more than one tRNA (with a specific anti-codon) for a particular amino acid; and 'wobble' base-pairing, i.e. permitting non-standard base-pairing at the 3rd anti-codon position. Lineage: Eukaryota; Metazoa; Platyhelminthes; Trematoda; Plagiorchiida; Echinostomatidae. The record is from Rfam by way of RNAcentral.